Molecule: ribosomal RNA, 378 nt
Filed under: uncultured bacterium
Lineage: Bacteria
Description: bacterial SSU rRNA
Rfam family: Bacterial small subunit ribosomal RNA
Source: RNAcentral
UAAUACGUAGGGCGCAAGCGUUGUCCGGAAUUAUUGGGCGUAAAGAGCUUGUAGGUGGCUUGUCGCGUCUGCCGUGAAAACCCGAGGCUCAACCUCGGGCGUGCGGUGGGUACGGGCAGGCUAGAGUGUGGUAGGGGAGACUGGAACUCCUGGUGUAGCGGUGAAAUGCGCAGAUAUCAGGAAGAACACCGAUGGCGAAGGCAGGUCUCUGGGCCAUUACUGACACUGAGAAGCGAAAGCAUGGGUAGCGAACAGGAUUAGAUACCCUGGUAGUCCAUGCCGUAAACGUUGGGCACUAGGUGUGGGGGACAUUCCACGUUUUCCGCGCCGUAGCUAACGCAUUAAGUGCCCCGCCUGGGGAGUACGGCCGCAAGGCUA